Long non-coding RNA from Archocentrus centrarchus (flier cichlid), 669 nucleotides. RefSeq lists it as uncharacterized. The transcript has 3 exons. Lineage: Eukaryota; Metazoa; Chordata; Actinopteri; Cichliformes; Cichlidae. The record is from RefSeq and is a predicted model, not a curated record.
GAGGCCCACCAACUGCCCUGGGGCCCCUGGGGAGGUUGAUCCAGCCAUGAUGAAGACUGUGGAUGAGGAGAUGCUGGAAACAGACUGGAGUGGAAUGGAAUGUUCAGAAGUGAUGUUACCAUGUAACCACUCUGCAACAUUCUAUAGCAACUAAAGAGAGAUUCACGUCGCCUAUGAAAUUCAGCGUGUGAAGACGUACUCUCCAGAGCUCGAGGCUUUCCAAGCAGUUUUGUAAAAACAUUUUACAAUAUAGACCAGAAGCACCUCUGAACAUCAUUGAAAGAGGAAGCGUCAGGACGAGCAGGAAGAGCAGCACAUCAAGAAGCCACCAAACGCAUUCAUGAUCUUUGUGAAGGAGCAGAGGGCAAAGGUUAAAGCAGAAAUGAACAUCAGUGGGAAUGCCACCCUUAAUGCAGUCAUGGGAGAGAGGUGGAAAUCGCUGUCGUGGGACCAGCAGGCAAAGUAUUACGAGCAGGCUGAUCAAGAGAGAAGGCUCCAUGCCCAAAAAUACCCAAACUGGUCUGCCAAAGUUAACUAUGCUAUGCUGCCCAUAGCAGCAUAAGUAAGGGAUGGUUCAGGGUCACCUGAUCCAGCCCUAACUAUAAGCUUGAUCAAAAAGGAAAGUUUUAAUCCUAAGCUUAAAAAUAGAGAGGGUGUCUGUCUCCCGAU